RNAcentral lists this ribosomal RNA (810 nucleotides) under Triticum aestivum (bread wheat). RNAcentral describes it as "partial small subunit ribosomal RNA". The record is from RNAcentral. Lineage: Eukaryota; Viridiplantae; Streptophyta; Magnoliopsida; Poales; Poaceae.
AUGGCUUUUUUUAUAUCUCAGGAAAAGUAUAUCCAGGAUCUUCUUGCUCGUGCUGCUCUUACUGACGAGCGCAUUGUUGAGACUCCUAUGGAGCUCAAUGUUCACCUCCGUGCUACUGAUGGUGUUCCUCUCCCUGACCCGACGCGUUAUCGUCAUCUCGUUGGCAGUCUUGUCUAUCUUGCUGUCACUCGUCCGGACAUCUCUGAUCCGGUUCAUAUUCUGAGUCAGUUUGUCUCUGCUCCCACAUCGGUUCACUAUAGUCAUCUCCUUCGUGUUCUCCAAUAUCUUCGGGGCACGAUCUCUCACCGUCUAUUCUUUCCUAGCUCCAGUUCUUUACAGCUUCAGGCCUAUUCGAAUGCUACGUGGGCUAGUGAUCCUUCUGAUCGCCGUUCACUUUCUGCUUACUGUGUUUUUCUUGGUGGUUCUCUCAUUGCCUGGAAGACGAAGAAACAGAUUGCAGUUUCCCGUUCGAGUGCUGAGGCUGAGUUGCGAGCCAUGGCUCUUUUGACGGCAGAGGUGACUUGGUUACGGUGGUUACUUCAGGAUUUUGGUGCUUCUGUCACUACACCGACUCUGCUCUUAUCUGACAGUACAGGUGCUAUUAGCAUUGCGCGCGAUCCUGUGAAGCAUGAGCUCACCAAGCAUAUUGGUGUUGAUGCUUUCUAUGUGCGCGCUGCUGUGCAGGAUCAGGUUAUUGCUCUUCAGUAUGUGCCUUCCGAGUUACAGUUGGCGGAUUUCCUCACGAAGGCCCAGACUAGAGCACAACAUGGCUUUUAUCUCUCCAAACUCAGUGUUGUUCCUCCACCAUGA